UGCCAGCAGCCGCGGUAAUACGGAGGGGGUUAGCGUUGCUCGGAAUCACUGGGCGUAAAGGGCGCGUAGGCGGCUUGACAUGUCUGACGUGAAAGCCCCGGGCUCACCCCGGGAAGUGCGUUGGAAACUGCCAGGCUAGAGUCUCGGAGAGGGAGGUGGAAUUCCAGGUGUAGCGGUGAAAUGCGUAGAUAUCUGGAAGAACACCGGUGGCGAAGGCGGCCUCCUGGACGAUGACUGACGCUGAGGCGCGAAAGCGUGGGGAGCAAACAGGGUUAGAUA
Molecule: ribosomal RNA, 279 nt
Filed under: uncultured bacterium
Lineage: Bacteria
Description: partial 16S ribosomal RNA
Rfam family: Bacterial small subunit ribosomal RNA
Source: RNAcentral